AUUAGAAUCAGUACGCUUUGUCGUCACUAGCGUGUGAGUUCACAAAACGACCUGAUUCUUUAGU
RNAcentral lists this non-coding RNA (64 nucleotides) under Spodoptera frugiperda (fall armyworm). Lineage: Eukaryota; Metazoa; Arthropoda; Insecta; Lepidoptera; Noctuidae. The record is from RNAcentral.